GUGCCAGCAGCCGCGGUAAUACGUAGGGCGCAAGCGUUGUCCGGAAUUAUUGGGCGUAAAGAGCUUGUAGGUGGCUUGUCGCGUCUGCCGUGAAAACCCGAGGCUCAACCUCGGGCGUGCGGUGGGUACGGGCAGGCUAGAGUGUGGUAGGGGAGACUGGAACUCCUGGUGUAGCGGUGAAAUGCGCAGAUAUCAGGAAGAACACCGAUGGCGAAGGCAGGUCUCUGGGCCAUUACUGACACUGAGAAGCGAAAGCAUGGGGAGCGAACAGGAUUAGAUACCCUGGUAGUCC
RNAcentral lists this ribosomal RNA (292 nucleotides) under uncultured microorganism. RNAcentral describes it as "partial 16S ribosomal RNA". It matches the Rfam family "Bacterial small subunit ribosomal RNA", at positions 505 to 796 of the family's 1533-position model. The record is from RNAcentral.